RNAcentral lists this ribosomal RNA (252 nucleotides) under uncultured bacterium. Its description in RNAcentral is "partial 16S ribosomal RNA". It matches the Rfam family "Bacterial small subunit ribosomal RNA", at positions 524 to 772 of the family's 1533-position model. The record is from RNAcentral.
UACGUAGGGUGCGAGCGUUAAUCGGAAUUACUGGGCGUAAAGCGUGCGCAGGCGGUUAUAUAAGACAGAGGUGAAAUCCCCGGGCUCAACCUGGGAACUGCCUUUGUGACUGUAUAGCUUGAGUGCGGCAGGAGGGGAGUGGAAUUCCGCGUGUAGGCAGUGAAAUGCGUAGAUAUGACGGAGGAACACCGAUGGCGAAGGCAAUCCCCUGGGCCUGCACUGACGCUCAUGCACGAAAGCGUGGGGAGCGAA